This is a long non-coding RNA of Sardina pilchardus (European sardine), 1170 nucleotides long. RefSeq lists it as uncharacterized. The record is from RefSeq and is a predicted model, not a curated record. The transcript has 2 exons. NCBI's taxonomy places the organism in Eukaryota, Metazoa, Chordata, Actinopteri, Clupeiformes, Clupeidae.
AUAAAUUUUAUAUGUUUCCCAUUGUAUUAACCAUUUACUAUAGCUUACAUAUAAUUAACUCUAGUUGCCAUCCUGGCCUUAGGAAUGUGGAGGUGACCCCAUGGUGAACCCAUGGCACACAAACACAAACAUGGUUGAGGAGUUCUUGUAAACAUUCUUAUCUCUGAUAAUUACCAGGUGGUUAAAGACUCACUAAAGUGUGUCUAGUGAUUUUCCAUGUGUGUGUGUGUGUGUUAAGGGUAUAAGAACAGGCUUCGCCCACAGAUGUGUGGGCUUGUUACUUUGACUUUCAUGUGAGUAACAUGCUCCCGGUAUCGUGAUUAAAGCUGCAGUCUCACACCAGUUGUCUUGGAAUAAUUUUGACCACAUAUUUGGCGACGAGGAUGGGAUACCUAUCUCUGAGACAUAGUGAGGAGGACCAAAGGCGCAGGACCCAACAAAGUUGCAACUGAGGGAGAUCUCUUUGUGAUCUUGGGAGAAGGCCGUUAACAGCAAACAACACUGCUCAGCGGCACCCAGCCUGGCCAGAGGGAAUCCUCCUGUGACUCGGAUACGGUAACACCCGUGUUUGGUGGUCACAGACAACUUGGUGGUGGCGUUGGCAUUUCCACAAAGUUUGCAAAGGACAAACCCAGCCAAGCCAGGCUCCUAGGAACUCAUCAAAGGAUUGCAAAGGAAGAAAACGCUGGAACCAGGACAAGUGGAAAGGACUUUUCGAAGAAUUCACAUCUACACCUACAUGUACAGCCAUAAGGAUUUCAGAGUGGUGAAGAAUCCAGAACACACAUGAACUGAACUGAACAUAACCAACACGUGGUUGCAAGAGAGGGUUGACAAACACAUUUUGCAAUAGACUGAAGAAUAAACUUUUGGGGAGAAUGAAUAAAAUAUCACUAGCAUCACAUUAAAAUAUUCUUUCUCAGUUUAGCUAGAUAAACGUUACAAGUUUGUUGUUUUGGUUUAAUUUUAUUUGGACAGUUACCUGAGGAGGGUCUAAACACCCAAGUCAGCUCUGUUGUUGAAGACUAGGAUUAGGUUUUAUUUUUGGUUUUGAAUAACUGAGAAAACAGAAGAUGUUGAUGUUUGUUUUGCUUAUUAUUCAUCUAAUCAUCCCUUAAGAAAGAAGUUUGUGAUAAUAAUAAAGUCUGUGAGUUAGCCUUCCAUGCUAAA